UUAAUGCGUAACAGCGAUCAAGGCUGGUUCAAUAUGAAGUUAACUAAAGAGGAUUAAUCAAUGUAUAAAUGAUCUGCAUAAAUGCAUGCUUGUUUGGGGGAAAAAUGGACAAGGAGGUGUGGAAAUUAAACUUCUGCAUCAGAGAAGCUUGACAAUGACCAGUAAUUACUUCUUGACCAUCGAUUUACAAUAUUGUGGAUUAUUCAGUAUACCAUGCUAAAUGUUUGUCCCAGGCUUGUGACCAGUGUUUUUCUGCUGCUGAUGCUGAUAUCUUCAGUCACAUGCAAGUGCAAAGGGAAGAAGUGCAAGAUUGGUGUCAUCCUAGAGAAUUAUAAAGCAGUCAUGUUUGAUGAAUUAAGAAGCUUAAAAAAUAUCACAGGGAUUUCUGAAAACAAUGAAAUGCUGAAACACCCAAAAAUGUUUAGUUGUCGAUCUAAUAAGGUACAA
Molecule: long non-coding RNA, 447 nt
Organism: Rhincodon typus (whale shark)
Lineage: Eukaryota; Metazoa; Chordata; Chondrichthyes; Orectolobiformes; Rhincodontidae
Exons: 3
Source: RefSeq, a predicted model, not a curated record